RNAcentral lists this non-coding RNA (78 nucleotides) under human gut metagenome. RNAcentral's name for it is "TPP riboswitch (THI element)". It matches the Rfam family "TPP riboswitch aptamer (THI element)", at positions 8 to 91 of the family's 105-position model. From Rfam's summary of the family: Vitamin B(1) in its active form thiamin pyrophosphate (TPP) is an essential coenzyme that is synthesised by coupling of pyrimidine and thiazole moieties in bacteria. The previously detected thiamin-regulatory element, thi box was extended, resulting in a new, highly conserved RNA secondary structure, the THI element, which is widely distributed in eubacteria and also occurs in some archaea. The record is from RNAcentral.
AGCUAGGGGAGCCUUCGGGCUGAGAAAAUAUUGAUUUGACCCUUGUACCUGAUGCGGGUAAUGCCGUCGUAGGAAAGC